GUCUACGGCCAUACCACCCUGAACGCGCCCGAUCUCGUCUGAUCUCGGAAGCUAAGCAGGGUCGGGCCUGGUUAGUACUUGGAUGGGAGAUUUGUGUAUCUAGAGUAUGUGAAAACC
Molecule: ribosomal RNA, 117 nt
Filed under: Panthera tigris altaica (Amur tiger)
Lineage: Eukaryota; Metazoa; Chordata; Mammalia; Carnivora; Felidae
Source: RNAcentral